GUACACUCCUACGGGAGGCAGCAGUGGGGAAUUUUGAACAAUGGGCGAAAGCCUGAUCCAGCAAUGCCGCGUGAGUGAAGAAGGCCUUCGGGUUGUAAAGCUCUUUUGUCAGGGAAGAAACGGUGAGAGCUAAUAUCUCUUGCUAAUGACGGUACCUGAAGAAUAAGCCCCGGCUAACUACGUGCCAGCAGCCGCGGUAAUACGUAGGGUGCAAGCGUUAAUCGGAAUUACUGGGCGUAAAGCGUGCGCAGGCGGUUUUGUAAGUCUGAUGUGAAAUCCCCGGGCUCAACCUGGGAAUUGCAUGGGAGACUGCAAGGCUAGAAUCUGGCAGAGGGGGGUAGAAUUCCACGUGUAGCAGUGAAAUGCGUAGAUAUGUGGAGGAACACCGAUGGCGAAGGCAGCCCCCUGGGUCAAGAUUGACGCUCAUGCACGAAAGCGUGGGGAGCAAACAGGAUUAGAUACCCUGGUAGUCCCAUG
Molecule: ribosomal RNA, 477 nt
Filed under: uncultured organism
Description: partial 16S ribosomal RNA
Rfam family: Bacterial small subunit ribosomal RNA
Source: RNAcentral